Molecule: ribosomal RNA, 254 nt
Filed under: uncultured bacterium
Lineage: Bacteria
Description: partial 16S ribosomal RNA
Rfam family: Bacterial small subunit ribosomal RNA
Source: RNAcentral
UACGGGGGGAGCAAGCGUUGUUCGGAUUUACUGGGCGUAAAGGGCGGGUAGGCGGCCACCGCAAGUCGACUGUGAAAUCUCCGGGCUUAACCCGGAAAGGUCAGCCGAUACUGCGGGGCUAGAGUGCAGAAGGGGCAACUGGAAUUCUCGGUGUAGCGGUGAAAUGCGUAGAUAUCGGGAAGAACACCCGUGGCGAAGGCGGUUCUCUGGGACGGUACUGACGCUGAGACGCGGAAGCGUGGGGAGCGAACAGG